Molecule: ribosomal RNA, 395 nt
Filed under: uncultured bacterium
Lineage: Bacteria
Description: bacterial SSU rRNA
Rfam family: Bacterial small subunit ribosomal RNA
Source: RNAcentral
GUGUCAGCAGCCGCGGUAAGACGGAGGGCGCAAGCGUUGUUCGGAAUUACUGGGCGUAAAGCGCGCGCAGGCGGUCUGUUAAGUCUGCGGUGAAAUCCCGGGGCUCAACUCCGGAUAUGCCGCGGAUACUGGCGGACUAGAGACCGGUAGAGGCGAGUGGAAUUCCAGGUGUAGCGGUGGAAUGCGUAGAUAUCUGGAAGAACACCGGUGGCGAAGGCGGCUCGCUGGGCCGGUUCUGACGCUCAGGCGCGAAAGCGUGGGGAGCAAACAGGAUUAGAUACCCUGGUAGUCCACGCCGUAAACGAUGGGCACUAGAUGCCGGGUCUAUAGACGGAUUCGGUGUCGCAGCUAACGCAUUAAGUGCCCCGCCUGGGGAGUACGGCCGCAAGGCUGAA